Molecule: ribosomal RNA, 931 nt
Filed under: Fructilactobacillus sanfranciscensis
Lineage: Bacteria; Bacillati; Bacillota; Bacilli; Lactobacillales; Lactobacillaceae
Description: bacterial SSU rRNA
Rfam family: Bacterial small subunit ribosomal RNA
Source: RNAcentral
AGAGUCUGAUGGAGCACGCCGCGUGAGUGAAGAAGGGUUUCGGCUCGUAAAACUCUGUUGUUAGAGAAGAACAGCCGUGAGAGCAACUGCUCACGGUAUGACGGUAUCUAACCAGAAAGUCACGGCUAACUACGUGCCAGCAGCCGCGGUAAUACGUAGGUGGCAAACGUUGUCCGGAUUUAUUGGGCGUAAAGGGAGCGCAGGCGGUUUAUUAAGUCUGAUGUGAAAGCCUUCGGCUUAACCGGAGAAGUGCAUCGGAAACUGAUAAACUUGAGUGCAGAAAAGGAUAGUGGAACUUCAUGUGUAGCGGUGAAAUGCGUAGAUAUAUGAAGGAACACCAGUGGCGAAGGCGGCUAUCUGGUCUGUAACUGACGCUGAGGCUCGAAAGCAUGGGUAGCAAACAGGAUUAGAUACCCUGGUAGUCCAUGCCGUAAACGAUGAAUGCUAGGUGUUGGAAGGUUUCCGCCUUUCAGUGCCGCAGCUAACGCAUUAAGCAUUCCGCCUGGGGAGUACGACCGCAAGGUUGAAACUCAAAGGAAUUGACGGGGACCCGCACAAGCGGUGGAGCAUGUGGUUUAAUUCGAUGCUACGCGAAGAACCUUACCAGGACUUGACAUCUUCUGCCAAUCUAAGAGAUUAGACGUUCCCUUCGGGGACAGAAUGACAGGUGGUGCAUGGUUGUCGUCAGCUCGUGUCGUGAGAUGUUGGGUUAAGUCCCGCAACGAGCGCAACCCUUGUCUUUAGUUGCCAGCAUUAAGUUGGGCACUCUAGAGAGACUGCCGGUGAUAAACCGGAGGAAGGUGGGGAUGACGUCAAAUCAUCAUGCCCCUUAUGUCCUGGGCUACACACGUGCUACAAUGGGCGAUACAACGAGUUGCGAAACCGCGAGGUCAAGCUAAUCUCUUAAAGUCGUUCUCAGUUCGGAUUGCAG